CUGAGUACUACACUCCCUACCCUUUGUGAACUAUUAUACCUGUUGCUUCGGCGGCGCCCGCAAGGGUGCCCGCCGGUCUCAUCAGAAUCUCUGUUUUCGAACCCGACGAUACUUCUGAGUGUUCUUAGCGAACUGUCA
This 138-nucleotide unclassified non-coding RNA is filed under the name soil metagenome. Its description in RNAcentral is "partial internal transcribed spacer 1". The record is from RNAcentral.